UUACGUAUUUCUUCUGAAUGAUAUUCCUCUUGGGUCUUUCCUUGCUCAUUCUGAGAUCCAAAUGCUGAUUGCAAAAGGGGACAAUUGCUUCAUGAAUUUAAAGCCGUCAGAAAUUUGCAAAAAAAUAUCCUGGUGGUUUUUAUUGUUGUUGGUGGUGGUUGAUCUUGUAAUCCGACUUUUCUUCCUCUUCCCCCAAAGCCAGAUUCGCCUUGAAAUAAAUCCGAAUUUGGGAAGGAAAAAAAAAAGAGCCAAAGACGAACGAAGCAAACAAAAAAAAAAUUCACUUUAGUAAAACACUCAUAAUGGAAAAUUUCCCCCGAAACACAUAUACACAAAAAAAAAAGAAAGAAAAAAACCGACGCCCUUCACUCCCCCCCUUUUUCCUCCAAAAACUACAUCAGCGAAACGUGAAGGUCCUUAGUGUCUGAUCUGUAGUUACAUCUUGGAAAAGAAAAGGGAAAGAUAAAUAAAAAAUGUUGGAAGUCACGUUUGUGCUGCAGCAGCAGUGCGAGCAGAAGAGUCAAC
RNAcentral lists this long non-coding RNA (525 nucleotides) under Marmota monax (woodchuck). Lineage: Eukaryota; Metazoa; Chordata; Mammalia; Rodentia; Sciuridae. The record is from RNAcentral.